RNAcentral lists this ribosomal RNA (1200 nucleotides) under Alternaria sp. KALUNITD31. RNAcentral's name for it is "eukaryotic LSU rRNA". It matches the Rfam family "Eukaryotic large subunit ribosomal RNA", at positions 47 to 1117 of the family's 3401-position model. The record is from RNAcentral. Lineage: Eukaryota; Fungi; Ascomycota; Dothideomycetes; Pleosporales; Pleosporaceae.
UACGGGGAAGAAGAUCAACAGGGAUUGCCCUAGUAACGGCGAGUGAAGCGGCAACAGCUCAAAUUUGAAAUCUGGCUCUUUUAGAGUCCGAGUUGUAAUUUGCAGAGGGCGCUUUGGCUUUGGCAGCGGUCCAAGUUCCUUGGAACAGGACGUCACAGAGGGUGAGAAUCCCGUACGUGGUCGCUGGCUAUUGCCGUGUAAAGCCCCUUCGACGAGUCGAGUUGUUUGGGAAUGCAGCUCUAAAUGGGAGGUACAUUUCUUCUAAAGCUAAAUAUUGGCCAGAGACCGAUAGCGCACAAGUAGAGUGAUCGAAAGAUGAAAAGCACUUUGGAAAGAGAGUCAAACAGCACGUGAAAUUGUUGAAAGGGAAGCGCUUGCAGCCAGACUUGCUUACAGUUGCUCAUCCGGGUUUCUACCCGGUGCACUCUUCUGUAGGCAGGCCAGCAUCAGUUUGGGCGGUAGGAUAAAGGUCUCUGUCACGUACCUCCUUUCGGGGAGGCCUUAUAGGGGAGACGACAUACUACCAGCCUGGACUGAGGUCCGCGCAUCUGCUAGGAUGCUGGCGUAAUGGCUGUAAGCGGCCCGUCUUGAAACACGGACCAAGGAGUCUAACAUCUAUGCGAGUGUUUGGGUGUCAAGCCCGAGCGCGUAAUGAAAGUGAACGGAGGUGGGAACCCGCAAGGGUGCACCAUCGACCGAUCCUGAUGUCUUCGGAAGGAUUUGAGUAAGAGCAUGGCUGUUGGGACCCGAAAGAUGGUGAACUAUGCUUGAAUAGGGUGAAGCCAGAGGAAACUCUGGUGGAGCUCGCAGCGGUUCUGACGUGCAAAUCGAUCGUCAAAUUUGGGCAUAGGGGCGAAGACUAAUCGAACUAUCUAGUAGCUGGUCUGCGUUCCUCCUCUCCUCAAAAAAGAGAGGAAAAAAUCCCUAAAGUUUGUGUAUUAAUACAUCUUCUCUCUCUCUUCACACAUUGUAUGAAAAGAAUAUGGAGGUCGAAAACGCAUUCCGGCCCUCCCCAAAAGUUUUCCCCUGGCUUCACCUAUAUUCAGGCAAAAAGUUACACAUCUUUUGCGGGUCCCAACCGCCUUGCCCUUUACUCCAAUCCAUCCUCGAGCAGAUGUGGGAAGGGUGGAAUGGGGUGGCCGUCGUCGCUCCACCCUCGGUUUGAGUUGUCACACACACACGUCUGAGAGAGUUGAAUAC